UAUAGUUAUAUAUUAUGUCCCAUCGCUAGAGGUCGACAUGCAAAUGUUGAACUGAGUGACUCUCCAACCUCGUCAGAGGAAGAGGUCUCUAGGAAACCAAAGGAAGCUUUUCCACACCCGGGUAGCCUCUCCAUCUCAGGUCUUGGGGAUGGGGAUGCGGUUGCAGCUUCAGUGUCUGCAGCUGGACUCCGUACGGAGUGUCCUGGAGGCAGUGAUCCGGAGGAGCUUUGGUCUUGAUGGAGUACAGGUGCUGUUCACACGGGACAAACGCUGUUGACACGCCACGGAAAACGCGUCCUCACAGCCCUGCGGGUGGAACAAAAAGCCCCACUAAAACCCGCUCUGGCUCUCAGGAAAAAAACUGCAGCUCCAAAUUCGCUCCAUUCAUUAAAAUCACAAUUUAAUACCCAACAGUUUUUUUUGACUACCUGAACCUACUAUUUGGUUUUGAAGCAUAGAAACCAAAACAUAUGGUUUGAAUGAAAAAUACUUUAAUGAGCAUGAAAAGGUGAACGUAAGAAGAGCUCAAUUUCAAAUAGACAAGGUGUCAUAUUAAACAGCAUAUAAACACGAAAUAGGUCAGCAGCCAGACAGGGAGCCUAAGAAGGAAUGCAAAUGAAUUAUUCAUGCGAUAUUAAAAAUGUUUCAAGGCUAUAGCCUACAAAGAAAUAUAUUGUGAAGCAUUUCUGAGUGCAACACACAGCUGGUAGGGAGUCAUGGACAUUAAGCACUCAGCAUUUUAACAACAGUUUGUUGUAUUAAAUCAUAAUAGUCUAAAUUGCGCAUAUAAUCUGUGACACUUAGAAUUAAAUACACACUAAAAUGAAAAAUGCCUUAUUAGGCUCAGUCUAGAGUUCCUUUGAAUUUAUUUUUAGAAACACCAGUGUUUGGCCAGGGUCUGUGGCUUCAGGCUCAUGUGAUGGUGCCUCUAGAGCAGGGCAGCAAUGGAGAAUAUCCUCUCCAAGCUUGCAGAGCCACUGGGGAUGCUAAACACCCUUAUGGCCACUCUUGACAAGCUGGGCAGGGAUGCAGAGUUGUUAUUUUCUUCUUCUAUUGGUAAGCCUAAAGGUUUUUAGGCAAAUAAACCCAAUCAAAAUGGAAAGUACCUUGAAAGUUGGAAUAUGAAAAUCAAUCAUGGCCUAUUGUAUAGAUAAUCUAACAAAAAUGAAGGAAACUUUUAUGAGGUCAGAUUUUUUUGGGUAUAAAUACUUUGCUACAAUGAAACUUAAUUAGCUACUCACCUCAUUCCUUUCUUUUAGCAUGUGCAUGUAGUAAGUACACCAUCAUGCUUUUGAGAUAUGUGUCAUUUCAGAUUCCGCAAUGAUUCUUUAGUUGUGGACAUUCCAUCACCACACUCCCUCUCUUGCUCUUGGUCCUCAUCUUUGUAAUUCACCUUGAUUUUGCACCUGUGUGUUUUAUCAGUUUCUUUACGAAAAUAUUUAGCACACCAUGACAGUAGCUAAAGUAAGGGGCUAUAGCAGCACACAAGUAGACUACAAAUGCAUGCUGUGCCAGGAAUGCCCAGAGCUCGUGAAGUGAGUGCUAUUGGAGCAAAAUUGGAGCGGGCGAGAAGGCCGAUGCUCUAGCCUUUGGGAAUCUCGCUCCAUGCUCCAGUCAAAUUGGGCACGCUCCAGCUCCGCCCACAUACUCUGACACACACACACACACACACACACGUUCACACUUACAAUAAUUUGUGAAAUCUCAAUCUCUGUGUGUGUGUGUGUGUGUGUGUGUGUGUAGGAUGGUGGUGGAGUGUGUGAGGAGACACAGCUCGGUGACAGGAGAUGGCUCCCAGACCUUCGUCCUGCUGCUCGCCUCAUUGCAACGGGAGAUACAGAAACACACCCGAAAAGCCCCCUGGGAAGGUGCCAAGUGUUUGGCUGAAGCUCUGCUGGCCUUCGCAUUGGACGAGCUCAGUGAUGUUAUCACUGUUGGAGUGGCUCCACCUGGCUCCUCCCUUUCAGACACACACACCCCAGGACAGACAGAUACACCUACUCAGUGCUUUCCUUCACACCCGGAUCAGCCCUACUCAUGCGGAAAUCUAAGCUAAUAUAGGGAUAGAAAGUGUGUGUGUGUGAUCAGGGCGGGUGUUAGACAGUGUGUGUGUCACCCUACAGCAUCUAGGAGUGUCUCUGCUCCUCUCAUCAGUCAGACAGUCGGAGGCCUUCCUGGCUGCAGUGGGGAGGUACGGUGUGUGUGUGUUAGAGUGUGUGUGAAGACGACCUUACCUUGUUCUCUGUGCUCAGUGGAGCCCAGCCUGUCUCAGACUGGGCCGUGAUUGGACAGGAACAUGUUGCUACGGUGACCUUCUGCCGGCCGCUGGUGCUGGGAGCUCACAGGUUCGUCAAUGUGGGGUUUCCUAAGGCAGAGGACAGGGGCAGACCCCACAGUCUGCUUGUGUGUGGACAGACAGAGGGCCAGGCGGAACAGAGUGUAUGUGCUGUACGAGAUGCUCUACACAUGCUGCAUACUACUACCUGGGGGCCCAAACACAGGACUGGAGCUACAGAAAGAACCGCUUACACACACACAGACACACACACAAACACACACACAGACGUGAUGGAGCCUUGUUGUGUAAUUUCCGUGGGCAGGACUUUUGACUUCCUGUUACACCACACCCUCCAUCAAACACAGACACGCACACUCCGUCAAACACAGACACGCACACUCCGUCAAACACAGACAUGCACACUCCGUCAAACACAGACACGCACACUCCGUCAAACACAGACACGCACACUCCGUCAAACACAGACACGCACACUCCGUCAAACACAGACACGCACACUCCGUCAAACACAGACACGCACACUCCGUCACACUUGGACACCCCUGCCGCCUCGGGGAUGUUAGCAGAGGCCCUACUGAGUGUGCCCAGACAGAUCUACUCCCACAAUCCUCGGCGCUACCUUGAGGCUCUCGCACACACUCUCAGCUGCAUACGUAACCAUGGUAACUCUCCGGACCCGCUGGAGACAGUGCUGUUCUGGUAGUGGAUGGUUCUAAUAUGGUCCAGGCUGACACUAGGUCAAGGUCUGGGUCAGGGGUAAAGGAGAUGACAGUUUGGUCAAGCUCUGGCUCUAGUUCAGGUGUGGAGUCAGUGUCCUGUAUGUAUCAUCUGAUCCUGGCUGUUCUACAGUGUCUCAGGAGUCUAGUGUCUGUGGACACUGUACUACACGCUAAUACCUCACACACCUGUCAGAGAGAAGAGGAGGAGGGUGACGACUGAGAACUCAUACUUGAUUUUAUUUCAUUGUUCAUCCAAAAGUUUUGUAUUCAAUUCUUGAAAAAGUAUCUCCUUGUGUAGUAUGUCUUUGCAUAUGAAUUUCUAUGUUAAUAAAUCCGAUUUGAUUAAA
This is a long non-coding RNA of Oncorhynchus tshawytscha (Chinook salmon), 3365 nucleotides long. The record is from Ensembl. NCBI's taxonomy places the organism in Eukaryota, Metazoa, Chordata, Actinopteri, Salmoniformes, Salmonidae.